This is a long non-coding RNA of Rhagoletis pomonella (apple maggot), 1426 nucleotides long. RefSeq lists it as uncharacterized. The record is from RefSeq and is a predicted model, not a curated record. The transcript has 2 exons. NCBI's taxonomy places the organism in Eukaryota, Metazoa, Arthropoda, Insecta, Diptera, Tephritidae.
UUUACUUGCCGCGAACUUUGUUACCGAUUCACACACGCUCACAAUAUAACCAGUAAACAACCUUGGGUGAAUGUGGCGAAUGCCUUCCUCGAGGAUGAAUAUGCCAUUGAUGAAAUUAUUGGUACACAGACUUUCUAAGCACGCAGAGUUGCUUUUGUGAAACAAAAAAUAAUUAGCUCAAAAUAGUUUCAAAAAUUAUAGUGUAAAACAAAAUUUAUUGAAUAAUUCUACAUAAAAUUGUAAAUGACUUACCAUGUAAACUAUUGGAGUAAAACUUGUUUCAUUACCGUUUUUGUGCAAAAUGAAAACGACUAUCUGAACGUUCGAAGCGCUGCAAUGAGCAACUACAGAAAAAAUACUGCUCUGGUGUUACUGCUGCCGUGGUGAAUAUAUGUUUCUAUUUAUUUUUCUUCUGUUUACGCGAAAAACAAUGCAGCAAGAACAAGGAAUAUGGCUGAGGUAGGCUUAAACAUCUUGGCGAUGGGCUGUUUACCUGCUGGCAAGGCGUAUUUAACAAGGUGGUGUUGGCCGUAUAUAAGUAAAAAAUUACACUAACAAAUUAUACGCUGAUGUCCAUACUGUCGGUGGUAUGAGUUACAACAAACACAUCAUUUUGACGUAAUGGCCUCCACGGCGAAAAACUCAGCUGUCGCCCCAACACCACCUUGUUUAAUACACCAUGCCUGCUGGAUACUUGCAAUCUCAUUUGUAAAAGUAUACGAAAUAUUUCUUUUUGAGUGAAUUUAAAACUAAAGGAAUAAACUGCUUAAGAUUUCGGGCAGCUGUUUCUCGCAAGUUCAAGUGUACGAAGAUCGCUGAGGGUCAAUGGGAAAGCCUUUUGGAUAAUUGAACCGAAAUUUCUGCAACAUGAAUUAACAUGAACCAAUGCCAUAAGUCUCUGGUGAUGACCAUGACUUUGUUGUGGAAAUAAUAUGUACAUAUAUUAUAAUACAAUUGAAAUUAUACCUCACUUGAUUUUUGUUAUAUAGCGGACCUGUUUAAAUUCUUAUUGAGGGCCUGUGCCAAUUAAUAGAAAAGUACUCGGGAUGGUAAAUUUUUGAUAACUAUGGGGUGAAUGAAAAUUUCCAAGCCGAGCAAGAAUCACACCUGCCUGACGGUUUUGAAGUGGUUUUGGUUUAAUAAACGAAUGGCUUUCAGUUCUAGAAGAAUUAAAGUCAGUAAAGACAUAUUUUUUUUACAUAAUUUCUGCAUUUUAAUUGCUAAACACUUUUGCACCAGAGCAACUGUUCAAAAUUUCCAGCAGUAAAAAGUUACGAAUUGGCACCGCAGAAAUGUAUUAGUUUCUUACCAUAGUAAAAAGUUUUUUCACCAUAGCACUUUUCUACUCAUUUGCACUGGCCCAGAGUAAUACAAUGUUUUAAAUGAAAAAAUAAUAACUUCUUCAUCACUUUCUUAAAAUUUUAAA